UGUAAACUCAGUGGUUUCCUGUUCAUACAGAUGUAAAUAGUUCACUUGGUGCUGAAGUUAAAGAGGAUCAGAAGCUCAUCCGUUCAGCUUCCACACAUCAUGUUUUCUGUCACUCUGCUGCUGCUGUUGGCAGCUGGAUCCUACGUGAGGAGUGAAACACUGACACAGCCAGCUUCCAUGACUGUACAACCAGGUCAACGUCUGACCAUCACCUGUCAGGUCUCUUAUUCUUUGGGCUACUGGACAGCUUGGAUCAGACAGCCUGCAGGGAAAGGACUGGAGUGGAUUGGGAUAAAAAACACAGGAGGCUCAUACUAUAAAGAUUCACUAAAGAACAAGUUCAGUAUUGACUUAGAUACUUCCAGUAACACAGUGACUCUGAAUGGACAGAAUAUGCAGCCUGAAGACACAGCUGUGUAUUACUGUGCGAGAUACCACAGUAACACAAACCAUCAGCAGAGCUGAACAAAAACCUCU
Molecule: non-coding RNA, 477 nt
Organism: Melanotaenia boesemani (Boeseman's rainbowfish)
Lineage: Eukaryota; Metazoa; Chordata; Actinopteri; Atheriniformes; Melanotaeniidae
Source: the annotation of a RefSeq genome assembly